This 433-nucleotide ribosomal RNA is filed under the name uncultured bacterium. RNAcentral describes it as "partial 16S ribosomal RNA". It matches the Rfam family "Bacterial small subunit ribosomal RNA", at positions 29 to 507 of the family's 1533-position model. The record is from RNAcentral.
AACGAACGCUGGCGGCAUGCCUAACACAUGCAAGUCGAACGAGACCUUCGGGUCUAGUGGCGCACGGGUGCGUAACGCGUGGGAACCUGCCCUUAGGUUCGGAAUAACUCCCCGAAAGGGGUGCUAAUACCGGAUAAUGUCUUCGGACCAAAGAUUUAUCGCCUUUGGAUGGGCCCGCGUUGGAUUAGCUAGUUGGUAGGGUAAAAGCCUACCAAGGCGACGAUCCAUAGCUGGUCUGAGAGGAUGAUCAGCCACACUGGGACUGAGACACGGCCCAGACUCCUACGGGAGGCAGCAGUGGGGAAUAUUGGACAAUGGGCGAAAGCCUGAUCCAGCAAUGCCGCGUGAGUGAUGAAGGCCUUAUGGUUGUAAAGCUCUUUUACCCGGGAUGAUAAUGACAGUACCGGGAGAAUAAGCGCCGGCUAACUCCGUG